This 227-nucleotide long non-coding RNA is filed under the name Elaeis guineensis (African oil palm). RNAcentral's name for it is "long non-coding RNA (EGUI_LNC020954)". The record is from RNAcentral. Lineage: Eukaryota; Viridiplantae; Streptophyta; Magnoliopsida; Arecales; Arecaceae.
UGGCCAAAGCAAGUAUGAAUACUGCAAAAGAGUUUUCAUGAAAUUCACAAAUGAACUCGAGUCGAGCCAAUCUUACAUAAGACUGGCGAUGGGGUUUGACAAAUUCUCCAUGACCUCCGUUAAGUCGGAACUCAUGAUAAAAGGACUAAAUCAUAUGAUAACUGCACCUAGGAGUUCGUAUUUUUAUUCUACUGAAUCGUUACUAUAUACUGCUAGGUGUCAUUGGU